GAACCCCUGUGAGGGGAGUGAAAUAGAACCUGAAACCGUGUACGUACAAGCAGUAGGAGCACCUUCGUGGUGUGACUGCGUACCUUUUGUAUAAUGGGUCAGCGACUUAUAUUCAGUGGCAAGGUUAACCAUCUAGGGGAGCCGUAGGGAAACCGAGUCUUAACUGGGCGUUCAGUCUCUGGAUAUAGACCCGAAACCAGGUGAUCUAGCCAUGGGCAGGUUGAAGGUUGAGUAACAUCAACUGGAGGACCGAACCGACUAAUGUUGAAAAAUUAGCGGAUGACUUGUGGCUAGGGGUGAAAGGCCAAUCAAACCUGGAGAUAGCUGGUUCUCCCCGAAAGCUAUUUAGGUAGCGCCUCGGACGAAUACUACUGGGGGUAGAGCACUGUUAAGGCUAGGGGGUCAUCCCGACUUACCAACCCUUUGCAAACUCCGAAUACCAGUAAGUACUAUCCGGGAGACACACGGCGGGUGCUAACGUCCGUCGUGGAGAGGGAAACAACCCAGACCGCCAGCUAAGGUCCCAAAUUACUACUAAGUGGGAAACGAUGUGGGAAGGCUCAGACAGCCAGGAUGUUGGCUUAGAAGCAGCCAUCAUUUAAAGAAAGCGUAAUAGCUCACUG
This 623-nucleotide ribosomal RNA is filed under the name Vibrio parahaemolyticus. Its description in RNAcentral is "partial 23S ribosomal RNA". It matches the Rfam family "Bacterial large subunit ribosomal RNA", at positions 521 to 1147 of the family's 2925-position model. Lineage: Bacteria; Pseudomonadati; Pseudomonadota; Gammaproteobacteria; Vibrionales; Vibrionaceae. The record is from RNAcentral.